Molecule: small nuclear RNA, 107 nt
Organism: Cricetulus griseus (Chinese hamster)
Lineage: Eukaryota; Metazoa; Chordata; Mammalia; Rodentia; Cricetidae
Source: Ensembl
GUGCUCGCUUAGGCAGCACAUAUACUAAAAUUGUAAUGAUACAGAGAAAAUUAGCAUGGCUCCUGCGAAAGGAUGACACACAAAUGCGUGAAGCAUUCCAUAUUUUU